This 3070-nucleotide long non-coding RNA is filed under the name Phaseolus vulgaris (common bean). RNAcentral describes it as "long non-coding RNA (PVUL_LNC005001)". The record is from RNAcentral. Lineage: Eukaryota; Viridiplantae; Streptophyta; Magnoliopsida; Fabales; Fabaceae.
UUUGUCUACAGACUGCACCCACAGACUCCAUCUCUUGGCACAUGAAGACGUUUCUGUGGGUGGUGGUUGAUGGUGUCUUGACGAGUUGGUGGUGGUUGAGUGGUCUCCUGUUCGGAGAAAAAGGUAAGUAAUAUUUUUUUGGUUUUCGGAUCCAUAGUUCCACUUUAUUUUUGGAUUAUCGUUUUCGCAGUUCAUAUCUAGUAUUUUAGACAAUGCAGUUCGGUAAUUUUAUGGAAUUGGAAAUUCGCAUUUGUUUUUUUGCAUUCCAAAAUCCAAAAUCUGUAAAUCUUCUAGAUUGGGAAAUUCGUAAGCCUUUCAGAUUGAAAAAUCCAUAAAUUUUCUGGAUUGGUGAGUUCAGUAAGCUUCCAGAUCCAUCAAUCUAUAACAAAAAAUAAGCUUUCGGAUCCAGCUAUCCGAUAAUCAACAAUUUAUUAACAAAUUGAUUAUGGAAAAUGAUUUCCUUACGGACUACCGUAUCCAAAAAUCACAUUUUCACUUCUGAAUUUAUCAAUCCGUAGCACACUCCUAGAUCGUGAUUCUCGGUAACCACAAAAACUCCAUAACCACCUAUGUUCUUAAAAAAAACUCAAUUUUUACCUUUAGAAGUCAAACAACAUUUUGACAACGCAACCCACUCCUCCACCUUACUUUUUCUCUUUUAGUAAUUUAAUUUUUGUGUUAAUAUUUAGGUGCUUCUUUUUGGUGUCUUCCUUUCUUGAAAAUCCUUAAUUUUUAAUUUUGAGUUUUUAAAAUUAUUAGGCGUAAGUUGUAACAAUUUCAAAUCUCUUGAGCUUAGCUUUCUUAAAUUUGAGUUUUUUUUUUUAAUAUUCUUAACCUCUUUUAUCUUUUAUAUCAUAAUUAAUAAUACUUUGGAACCAAGCUUUGAUAAAUGUAGAUUCUUUCCAAAUACCUACCCUUAACAUUAGUAACUCAAUUUUUUGUCUUUAUUAUUCGAUGAGCAAAUAUGGGUAAGUCUUUAGAGUUGUUGCAUCAAUUUCCUGAUUUUAGCCAAGUGUAUGAUGGCUUAGAAAUGAGAAUGGUCCUCCAUCAUCUACUGUUUUGAAUAUUUUUUAUAUUUUCCCGUUGAAAGACAACCUGACAUUAUAUAACCUUAUCUAUCCUACUAUCUUUUUGGACGUCUGAAUUUUUUAAUUUUUUUUAUGAAUUUUUUAUUUUUUUUUUAUGAAUUUUUUAAUUUAAUGGUUAAACAACAACUAUCAAUUAUGAAUGGGUAAGUUUUCUCACAUUUGCGACCCAAUAUUUUUGCCACAUCUAAAUCCAUAAAAUCUUGAGUAGUACGAUGACUUUCAUGGUUUGAAACCAUAAUUUUCUGUAUUAACCUUCAUAGAAAGUUAAGGAGUCUCAACUGCAAUAUUCGCCAAGUGUUUGGUUCUUCACUUCCACAAUUAUCAAAAAUUGAAUAAAAAAUACAUACUUAAAAUUACUUUUUAACUUAUUGCUAAGUUUAUUGGUUUCUUCUCCAAAAUACUUUUUAUGUUAUAAUUCCUUUUUAAAAACUACAAAGAAUCUUGAUUUUUAAUAUUUAAUUAUAUUUAUCUUUUAUAAUAACUUCAGUACAUAGAUGUAAUAGGAUAUCAUUUCAAGAGACAAUAUUUAGAUUUUUUUUUCCUGUGUAGUGUAAUUUAAAAUGAAAAUUUAGGAAAUGAGCAGAUUUUCUUUUAUGAAAAUGGAUAAAUAGUAUAUGGAUUAUACGAUUUAAUUAUAAGGAAAUCACCAAAAUGUAUAUUCGAGUUUUCAAAAAUAAAAGAACUCGUAUAAUAUACGAGUUCCGUUUAAAAUCGUAUUUAGCCAAUCGCUUUUAAUUAAAAUAAAAGAAUAUGAAGAAUUAAAAAAUAUGCAAAAUCGUAUAUACUAUUUCGAUUUUGAAAUGAAUCCGUAUAGCAAGUGGACGCUUUUAAAAUUAUUUUUUAUUAUAUAUAGUUAAAAAAUAGUUUUAUAAAAUAUUCCUUUUAUUAUAUAUAAUUAAAGAAUGGCUGAAUAGGAUUUUAUAAAAUACUUUAUUAUUAUAUAAUUAAAGAAUGAUUGAGUUAAUGGGUUUUUAAAAAAAUAUUUUUUUAUUAUAUAUAAUUAAAAAAAUAUAUAAUUUUUUUAUCUUUAAUAUAUUAAAAUUAUUUUAAUUUUUAAAAAAAAUUAAUGAUAUAAUAUUUUAAUAAUAUAAACAAAUAAUUUCAAGAAAAUGAUCAAACUAAAUGAUAAAGAAUUAAUUUGGUAAAAGUCUAAAUGUAAAAUGCUAAAAAUAAAUUGAAAACUUUAAUUAGAAAAUUAAAACUGAAAACGUUAACAAAAAAACAUGUUUAAAAAGAAUAUGAAAAUUUAAUAAAACACACAAACAUGACAACCUAAUUUAAAAAAUAAACAAUUUACAAAUGUAUGUUAAAAAUGAGUGAACUAUCUAUAAGAUCUUGUCCCACAUGAGGUUUUUUUUUUUGUCUCUGUGGACGUCUUGAUGGAGGUGGGCUAUCAUCGUCAUUAUUUUUUUCCUUCAUUGUUGUCAGAUGGAAUAUCAAACCCCAGUGAAGGCAUUGUGGACGGAUAAUAAUGCAUGGUAGGAACUAAACGAAAUGGAAAGGUGGUGUCAUUGUUGAAGUACCAAAUAUUUGUGAUGGACAUGGAGAAAAAAUAUUUCUCUGCGAUGCAAAAUUGGUGUAAGUUGAUGUCACUUGAUGGUAGGGAAAUUGGGCAAAUAUGUUGCGGUGGUGCUCAAUAAAGCUGAAUAUUUGUGGUGGUUGAUUGGGGGUCGAUUGAAAUUUUACUUGUCCAAAUUGUGCAACAUUACCCAACAUGAAGAGGGUGAACUUUGGAAUGGUGUGGUUAACUAUCGGGUGACAUGUUGUAUUGUUGUUUAAAAAAUAAUUAAUGUACUUUUUAAAAAAAUGACAAUAUGAAAUGAUUGAACUUACAUUGUCUUCAAACGUGGUCUUUAUAGGUGAGACGUAGCGAAUAGUAUGAGUGAUGUACCAUUGCAUGUAAGUUGAAUCAUCACACAAAUGGUCGUUUUUGUGGAAUGAUACUCCUUGAAUUAAAUGGUUUUGUCAAUUGUUCAAAUUUG